GACGAACGCUGGCGGCGUGCUUAACACAUGCAAGUCGAGCGGUAAGGCCCUUUCGGGGGUACACGAGCGGCGAACGGGUGAGUAACACGUGGGUGACCUGCCUUUAGCUCUGGGAUAAGCCUGGGAAACCGGGUCUAAUACCGGAUAUGACUCCGCGGCGCAUGUUGUGGGGUGGAAAGCCUUGUGCGGCUGGAGAUGGGCCCGCGGCCUAUCAGCUUGUUGGUGGGGUGAUGGCCUACCAAGGCGACGACGGGUAGCCGGCCUGAGAGGGCGACCGGCCACACUGGGACUGAGACACGGCCCAGACUCCUACGGGAGGCAGCAGUGGGGAAUCUUGCGCAAUGGGCGAAAGGCCUGACGCAGCGACGCCGCGUGAGGGAUGACGGCC
RNAcentral lists this ribosomal RNA (388 nucleotides) under uncultured bacterium. RNAcentral's name for it is "bacterial SSU rRNA". It matches the Rfam family "Bacterial small subunit ribosomal RNA", at positions 28 to 416 of the family's 1533-position model. The record is from RNAcentral.